Molecule: ribosomal RNA, 253 nt
Filed under: uncultured bacterium
Lineage: Bacteria
Description: partial 16S ribosomal RNA
Rfam family: Bacterial small subunit ribosomal RNA
Source: RNAcentral
UACGUAGGGUGCGAGCGUUGUCCGGAAUUAUUGGGCGUAAAGAGCUCGUAGGCGGCUUGUCGCGUCGGAUGUGAAAGCCCGGGGCUUAACUCCGGGUCUGCAUUCGAUACGGGCAGGCUAGAGUUCGGUAGGGGAGAUCGGAAUUCCUGGUGUAGCGGUGAAAUGCGCAGAUAUCAGGAGGAACACCGGUGGCGAAGGCGGUGGUCUGGGCCGGCACUGACGCUGAGGAGCGAAAGCGUGGGUAGCAAACAGG